Long non-coding RNA from Corythoichthys intestinalis (scribbled pipefish), 1373 nucleotides. RefSeq lists it as uncharacterized. The transcript has 4 exons. The record is from RefSeq and is a predicted model, not a curated record. NCBI's taxonomy places the organism in Eukaryota, Metazoa, Chordata, Actinopteri, Syngnathiformes, Syngnathidae.
UUACUUGCCUUGCUACAAUACCACACACCUGUGGAGAGAUCUGAAAUUGGCAGUUUGGAGAAGGUACCCUUCAAAUCUCAGAGACCUGGAGCAGUUGACCAAAGGAGAAUGAUCUAAAAUUACAGCAGAGCAUUGUAAGAAACUCAUUGAUGGAUACCGGAACGGUUGUUCGCAGUUAUUUUGGCUAAAGGUUGUGCUACCAAGUAUUAGGCUGAAGGUGCCAAUACUUUUGUCGGGCCCUUUUUUAGGAUUUUAUAUAAAAUGUAGCUCAAAGCCGAAGGAAAUGGGUCACAUGUCGGAAGACAAUUGUUCUUUUAAGGCCACUGUAAACAGAGAAGCAAUAUCAGGCGCAUAUCAAGGGAAGAACAUCAGAACCUUCGGAAGAUCAGAGACACAGCUGUCACUAUGAAGACGCUUGGCCUCUUUACAUUCGUCACUCUGAUGUGCCUUGUGUCCACAGGUUUUUUAAACCAGGAAAUGUUGUUUGAUGGAGGACUCUGCGAACUAAUCUAUAGAAUACCCAUUCCUAAAAAGAAGAUAAUAAAUGUGACAGCGACACCAGAUGGCCACAGACACAAAGCAAUUGUAGUCACAACUGUGUGCAACGAAACCAUUUGCCUCAAUUACGAUUGGGAUUGGGCAAAAAAGCUGUUGGCGGAUUUCACGGCAGUUUCUGCCAGCAAGACUUCUGUACCUGCCCCUUACAAUCAGACCGAGUGCAUCAAGGAAGUUGGAAAGCGUUAAGCUUUAAGCAAAUUCUGUUCUUUCCUGUUUAAAAAAAACAGAAAAAAAUCUGAAGUUUGUUUUUCUGUUUUGUUUCACAUGAAGUGCUUAUUUUUGUAUUUUGAACAUUAAACUGUACCGUCUUGUACAUUACGUUCGCAUUUAUAUGGUAUGUUUGUAGUGCUGCUUUAACUAUAAUUCAAAAAACCAGUAUUUGGCUUCUGUACUCCUGCUUGAAAAAAUGUUAUUUUGCUCUGAUCUGCUAGCAUUUGACUAUAUAUUGAGUUUUAUUAGUUAGCGACAUUAAAUGGCCACCAUUUACAAUUGAAUAACUAAAUUGUGGCAUUCAAACCUAAAAUAAAAAGUGGUUUAUUUCAAUAUAUUUACCAAAAAAGUUUCUUAAUUUUGUGUUCAGGCAUACUGUAGAAUAGCACCAAUGCUUCCUUGAUGCAUGUAUGUAAGUUUCUGGCUUCAACUGUAAAUAUAUACGGUGGUACCGCUACUUACGAAAUUAACUGAUUCCAGAAGUAGUUUCGUAACCUGAAAAUUUUGUAAGUACAGUUUUUUCAUGUAAAUGCCUAAUCGGUUCCAAGCCCCCAAAAAUUCAGACAGAAGUCUUUUAUAAUGCAUAAAAAUGCAUCUAAACAUGU